This is a long non-coding RNA of Entelurus aequoreus (snake pipefish), 460 nucleotides long. RefSeq lists it as uncharacterized. NCBI's taxonomy places the organism in Eukaryota, Metazoa, Chordata, Actinopteri, Syngnathiformes, Syngnathidae. The record is from RefSeq and is a predicted model, not a curated record. The transcript has 3 exons.
CUUGAACUCACCGUAUAGUCUGUUUACAUGCAUAACUUUCUCCGACUUUCUAGGACGUGUUUUAUGCCACUUUUUCUGUCUCAUUUUGUCCACCACACUUUUAACCUUGUACAUGAGUGCACAAAGGCUAAACAUCUCCAUGAACGAGCUUUAUUAAAAUGUGUGACAGCCUCACUACAAUGCUUCAAGAAAAGGAGAAGGGACAGCAAAGAGGAGGAUGCAAGUUCUUCAGGCAGCUGACCUCCCCAACAUCUAGGCCGCUGUAGCCUUAGUCGUCAGCAUUCCAUCUUCCACUGGUCAAGCCCCACCUGGACCCACUCCAAUUCGCCUACCAGCCCCGACUGCAGUGGAGGACGCAGUCAUCUACCUGCUGAACCGAGCCCACACCCACCCAGACAAGCCUGCGAGCAGUGUGAGGAUCAUGUUUUUUGACUUCUCCAGUGCUUUCAAUACCAUACGG